Molecule: long non-coding RNA, 767 nt
Organism: Nerophis ophidion (straightnose pipefish)
Lineage: Eukaryota; Metazoa; Chordata; Actinopteri; Syngnathiformes; Syngnathidae
Exons: 3
Source: RefSeq, a predicted model, not a curated record
GCAUCACGGCUAGCACCCCUCCCUUGUUUCCUGCUCGCCUUCUUUGUGCUCUUCCUGGUUCGCGUGUUUUGAUGUCCCUUGUGUCUUACGCAGUGUCUUCCCUGUUGCCUGUGAUCGUGCCUUGCCUCACGGCCUCCACCCAGAUCUCUGCUUGCCUCCCUCUACCCUCGACCCCUGCUUGGACUCGGACAUUGUUGCCUCUCUCCAAUCCCCGACUGCUCGCUUCCCUGCUGACUACCUCUUUGUCUUGCCCCUUGGAUUUGACGAAAGAUUCACACAAAACGCACCGACAACAACCCCUGCGCAAACGCAUGCCGCUGCACAUUCUUCAUUGAGCUACGCGGAGCACGCCUCGGGACAUGCCAACGGGCGCUCAUCUCCUACUGCAGCUGGAGGCUGCAAUCUAUCAGCAAUCAGCACACCUGAAACUGAUGACCAGACCUGCCUUCAUAAGCCUGCUCAACCUGCUAUCCCGUGCCAGAACUUAACAACCUGUCCUGUAUACGUACCUCUGUUUCCACGUCACGAGUUGUGUGUCUCGUCUUCCCGCGUUCCCUCCGUUUCCCUGGCUGCCUCUUGGAUCUCGACAUCCCACCUGGACACGGACCUCUGACGCCUCGCUAUCGCCCCGACUACCUGCUUGUCUCACGGACCUUCGAGCAUGCUUUUCCCUCAUUGGACUCCCGCCUCUCUUGCUCAACUCUCACGGUAACACUCAGCUUUAAAUUCCUGCACAUAGUAACACACCAUACACUUUUGGAUUUAGU